Molecule: ribosomal RNA, 1446 nt
Filed under: uncultured bacterium
Lineage: Bacteria
Description: bacterial SSU rRNA
Rfam family: Bacterial small subunit ribosomal RNA
Source: RNAcentral
AGUGAACGCUGGCGGCGUGCUUAACACAUGCAAGUCGAACGAUGAAGUUUAGUUUACUAAACGGAUUAGUGGCGCACGGGUGAGUAAUAUAUAGAUAAUCUGCCUCUUAGUCUGGGAUAGCCAUUGGAAACGAUGAUUAAUACUAGAUACUCCUUCUCAAUCAGAUUUGAGUCGGGAAAGGAACUCCUUAUGGUGCUUCGCUAAGAGAUGAGUCUAUAUCCCAUCAGCUUGUUGGUAGUGUAAGAGACUACCAAGGCAAUGACGGGUAGCGGGUUUGAGAGGAUGAUCCGCCACACUGGUACUGAGACACGGACCAGACUCCUACGGGAGGCAGCAGUGAGGAAUAUUGCACAAUGGGGGAAACCCUGAUGCAGCAACGCCGCGUGGAGGAUGACGCAUUUCGGUGUGUAAACUCCUUUUAUAAGGGAAGAAAAUGACGGUACCUUAUGAAUAAGCACCGGCUAACUCCGUGCCAGCAGCCGCGGUAAUACGGAGGGUGCAAGCGUUACUCGGAAUCACUGGGCGUAAAGGACGCGUAGGCGGAUUGGAAAGUCAGAUGUGAAAUCCUACAGCUUAACUGUAGAACUGCAUUUGAAACUUCUAAUCUAGAGUAUGGGAGGGGGAGAUGGAAUUAGUGGUGUAGGGGUAAAAUCCGUAGAUAUCACUAGGAAUACCGAAAGCGAAGGCGAUCUCCUGGAACAUAACUGACGCUAAGGCGUGAAAGCGUGGGGAGCAAACGGGAUUAGAUACCCCGGUAGUCCACGCCCUAAACGAUGAACACUAGUCGUCGGGAUGCUAGUCAUCUCGGUGAUGCACUUAACAGAUUAAGUGUUCCGCCUGGGGAGUACGGUCGCAAGAUUAAAACUCAAAGGAAUAGACGGGGACCCGCACAAGUGGUGGAGCAUGUGGUUUAAUUCGAUGCAACGCGAAGAACCUUACCAGCCCUUGACAUCCUGGGAAUUUUCUAGAGAUAGAUUAGUGCCUGCGGGAACCCAGUGACAGGUGCUGCAUGGCUGUCGUCAGCUCGUGUCGUGAGAUGUUGGGUUAAGUCCCGCAACGAGCGCAACCCUUGUCCUUAGUUGCCAGCAUUUAGUUGGGCACUCUAGGGAGACUGCCGGUGACAAACCGGAGGAAGGUGGGGAUGACGUCAAGUCAUCAUGGCCCUUAUGGGCUGGGCUACACACGUGCUACAAUGGUGCAUACAGAGGGUUGCCAACCCGCGAGGGGGAGCUAAUCCCACAAAGUGCAUCGUAGUCCGGAUUGGAGUCUGCAACUCGACUCCAUGAAGUCGGAAUCGCUAGUAAUCGUAGAUCAGAAUGCUACGGUGAAUACGUUCCCGGGCCUUGUACACACCGCCCGUCACACCAUGGGAGUGGGCUGCAAAAGGAGUGGGUAGCAUAACCUUCGGGAGUGCGCUCACCACUUUGUGGUUCAUGACUGGGGUGA